RNAcentral lists this long non-coding RNA (2577 nucleotides) under Anser brachyrhynchus (Pink-footed goose). RNAcentral describes it as "lncRNA (ENSABRG00000012727.1)". The record is from RNAcentral. Lineage: Eukaryota; Metazoa; Chordata; Aves; Anseriformes; Anatidae.
CUCCAAGAGUGACUGUAUUUUUAUUCUCGAGUGCUGUAUCAGGAAUUUUCAGCACUAAGAAUUCAUAUUUCUUUUCAUUCCAUGAACCAGAAAAGGCUUACAAUUCUGUGAAAUGUAAUGUACAGGUCUAAUAGGAUUGUACUCUUGCCUGAUGUCACGGUAAUGAAUAAAUGAAAUAGAGAAUUGCUGACACAAUAGGAAACCGCUAGUUCAACGCAAAUAAGUCUCUGUAAAUAAAUCUGAAGUAAUUUCUCUACACAUCUUAGCUACUGCUUUAAGCUCUGCUCACAGUCAGGAGGUGGCAUGGCAUUAACAGAGGAAAAAAAAAAACAAACACAUAUAGCUACCUCCACUGUGUGUUACAGCAUAUUGCAGCUCAAGGUAGGAGUGACUUGAUGGUUCCACUCUAAAAUGCCUUGUUUAGUAACAAACUCCCCUUGCAGCCCACAUAUUAAAAAGUGCAAAAUGGCCCAUCCCAAUCAUGUAGAAGAAGAAUCUGUGAAGUGACGCAAUACUCCUGUGCACAGUUUCAAGGCUGCUGCAACAUGGCUGGCACCACCUUCGGUACAAGGAAGGGAAGCAACUCCUUGCCUCCACAGGGGGAGAAACUACUUCUGAACCAGAUUCUCAGCUGUACUGAUCCUAAGGAAAUGAGUGCCAUUCCUACCACACCUACGGUAAUCAGGCAUAACUUCUGUUAUUUCAAAGGAGCUAAACUCAUUCACAUUGACUUCUGGUCUGGUCCAAACCGCCUUAGCUGGAAAACUAAGCUGUAUGAGACUCUACAGCGAAACCUGGGUUUGCUGUACCAACCAGGGUUGGAAAAUACUUUUUAACUAUCUCCAAUGAUCUGCUUUCAGUUAAAAACCAUUACACAGUGUGACAUGUAAGGAAUAAGAAGCAGCAUGAGGACCUGGUAGUUGCAGUGUUUACGGACAAUCUCCCUGGGUGGUUUGAUUAACUCAGGAGCAGAUGCCCCCCUUUCUUGAUCUAUUUUUGUUUGGAAAAUUUGAAGCUGAUUGCACAUAUGCUUGAAGUUUAGGUAUGCAGAUUUGGAAAAAUCUAAACAAGUAAAUGCAUUUUGUGAAUAUUACCAAGUAGGCACAAAAUGUUUAUUCUAACCAUUGGAUUUCUGCGCAUGAGUGUUUAGCUGAUGCAAACAAAAGAACUCAAUUGGUCAAAUCUUCUUUAGGUUAUGAAAGGAGUUUGUCUUUGUUUCUGUCCUGGUUUAAUUAUCUUCCUUGAUCCAGAUGCCUUCAUUGAGCUGCAUCUGCAAAAUAUUUCUCAGCUGAGGUAUGACUAAAUCUUUCCUAUGAUUUGACCAUGUGGCCAAGAAUCAGAGAACUGUUCUUCCUGCAAUAAGGACUGUGAGAGCUCAGCACCCUAAACCAUUUUAUAGGCAGUUGUACCCCUUAAACCAUUUUAUUGCAAUUUUUCUUAUCUCAGUGUUGCAAAAUUUUUCUAAAGAGGAAAUGCUUGUGAACCACUCCUCAGUGCACAUAUAUAUAUACAUGUGCCCCUCAUUUUUCAUGGGGUGAGACCAGACAGGACAUGUCUUGAAUGCUCCUGGCAGGAAUGGGAGAGCAAAAGGAAACUAGUGCUGGCUAAGACAUCUGAGAGAACUUUGUAAGCUUGAGCUGGUGUGAUCAUGAUACAAGGAUGACCAAGGAAAACUCCCUCUCCAAAGAGAGCAGCAAACAGAAGGAAAGGAACCUUUAAUAAGAAGAAUCAAAGUGCACCCUAUGGUACGUUACCACCUGGUGUGCCCAAAGAAAUUAUUUCUGACUGCACUUUCCAGAGGACAAAGAUUAAGCCCUUCAGGAGGCACGAUGAGGUGUGAUCAGGGAUCACAAACCAUAACAAAAGCAUCAGAGUUGGCUUGUCAGAGAGUUUCUCAAGGUCAUCUCACUCUAAUUCUGAGUCUCUAAGUGUAACUCAAGGCUCUUUAAUUUCCAUUGAACAGAUGAGUGCACAGAGCCCAUGUUUUGAUGCCAGGAGGCAACUAUUCUUCCUCCAUAAAAGUAUUUUUAUUCUGAAGGGUAAUUUUAUUCUUAAGGGGCAAAGGGGCAGGACAAGAAUAUUUCACUGAUGUUUUAAUUAAAUUAAUCAUUCUAAUAUGAAAAUACUAAGAAUGCAUUUCUGUACAUUUUCAACAUUGCGUCAGGAAACAAAAAGAUUCAUUUUGUUUCUAAGGUUUUACUUCAGUUUCUCCCAAUUAGCUGAGCAGGAGUAGCUACACUUUCUUCUCACACUGAGUACACAGACCUGAGUGUGUCCAUCUUUCCAACUCUAUCUGUACUGAAGUUUCCACUAAGGAACUGAUGUCCUAAGCAUUGGCAGUGGUCAUUUUUUAAGGCUGGUACAUGUGACCUAUCUACAGAAUUAAAUUACAUCUCAAGAGAAUAAUUAUUAAGCAGGAAACUUCAUCAGUAAGAAGGAGAAUAACAGCAAAUAGGAAAGUAGAAUUUUAAGCAAAACAAACAGAAUUUUCAAGAAUUUAAAAUUUCCAUUAAAAAUGAUCAAUUUUCACGACAUUUUCCCUGAGGAAAGUCUCAAUAAAAGGUGGCCUUGAGGCCA